RNAcentral lists this small RNA (91 nucleotides) under unclassified sequences. RNAcentral describes it as "GA-cis RNA". It matches the Rfam family "GA-cis RNA". The record is from Rfam by way of RNAcentral.
GAGAGGAGGCCCCACGUGAUGCGAAGCAGCACGUUAUAAUGGGGCCGACGACCUGCCGCCGACGCUGAAAGCGGAGGGGGCGAUACCAUAU